RNAcentral lists this unclassified non-coding RNA (284 nucleotides) under fungal sp. RNAcentral describes it as "partial internal transcribed spacer region". The stretch from base 1 to 46 matches the Rfam family "Eukaryotic small subunit ribosomal RNA", at positions 1786 to 1831 of the family's 1831-position model. Lineage: Eukaryota; Fungi. The record is from RNAcentral.
AAGUCGUAACAAGGUUUCCGUAGGUGAACCUGCGGAAGGAUCAUUAACACAAUUUUACUGUGAUAAAUCCGUUGAAUUCUCGAAUUCAAUGGUGUCCACCCCAUUAUUGACGAACUUUUCUAGAUGUUAAAACAUAGAGCUAGUCUUUAUGUUUUUAACAUUCUAAACCUUUUUCUAUAUCCACACAAAUUUAAACCCCUUUUACAACAUGUAUUAGACUGAAAUGAAAAUUUUCUAUCAAAAAAUUGAUAAAACAACUUUUAACAACGGAUAUCUUGGCUCUC